GAACAAUAUUAAUAAAGCGCUUUUAGGCUCUGUGAAAGGAAUGUAGUAUAAAUGUAUAUUUAAGUAAUUUAGUGAAAAGGCUGUGGGAGAGGUAGAGAUCUGGAGUGCUUUUUUGUUCCCCCUCCUGGUUUCUGAUUUUUGCUCUUCUUUAUACCAGGCUCUAAUGCUAGAAAAUUUACAAAAACACUCAACACCCCAUGCUGCAUUCCAGCCAAAUUCUCAGGUAAGAAAAAAGGUUUGUUUAGAUAGAAUGGGCUAUUUGGAGAAAAUGGUAAAUGGGAAGACUUGGUGUCUUCCAUGUUUAUCAGAAACAGAAUUUUCUUGUUUUUUUAUUGCAAGUGAUCUCAGUUACUGGGUUUUUGUUUUGUUUGUUUUUGUUUUGUUUUUUUAAGGUCUGUUUUUAUUUUAUGUGUGUGGGUGAUUUGCCUCCAACGGGUGCCCACAGAGGCCAGGAGAGAAUGUCAGAUCCUCUGCAACUGGAGUUACAGACAGCUGUGAGCCACCAUGUGGGUGCUGAAUCGAACCUGGGUCCUCUAUAAACGCAGCCAGUGUCUUAACCAUUGAGCUAUCUCUCCAGCCCUCAGACAGUUGAAUUCUAAUCACCCUCAAUUUUGCAUAAAGACCUGGAGUUUUAA
RNAcentral lists this long non-coding RNA (635 nucleotides) under Rattus norvegicus (Norway rat). RNAcentral's name for it is "long non-coding RNA NONRATT010865". The record is from RNAcentral. Lineage: Eukaryota; Metazoa; Chordata; Mammalia; Rodentia; Muridae.